CAGCAGCCGCGUAAUACGUAGGGUGCAAGCGUUAAUCGGAAUUACUGGGCGUAAAGCGUGCGCAGGCGGUUAUAUAAGACAGAUGUGAAAUCCCCGGGCUCAACCUGGGAACUGCAUUUGUGACUGUAUAGCUAGAGUACGGCAGAGGGGGAUGGAAUUCCGCGUGUAGCAGUGAAAUGCGUAGAUAUGCGGAGGAACACCGAUGGCGAAGGCAAUCCCCUGGGCCUGUACUGACGCUCAUGCACGAAAGCGUGGGGAGCAAACAGGAUUAGAUACCCCAGUAGUCCCUGUCUCUUAUACA
This 301-nucleotide ribosomal RNA is filed under the name uncultured bacterium. Its description in RNAcentral is "partial 16S ribosomal RNA". It matches the Rfam family "Bacterial small subunit ribosomal RNA", at positions 509 to 808 of the family's 1533-position model. The record is from RNAcentral.